Long non-coding RNA from Astyanax mexicanus (Mexican tetra), 575 nucleotides. RefSeq lists it as uncharacterized. The transcript has 3 exons. Lineage: Eukaryota; Metazoa; Chordata; Actinopteri; Characiformes; Acestrorhamphidae. The record is from RefSeq and is a predicted model, not a curated record.
GUUUGUUACUCCUAAACAGUAAAUAAACCAACAGAAAAGCAGAUUUAGUUGCGGGAUGUGCUGAGAUUUACUGAAGAUCCACGACAACAUCAGAACAAACCGACUCUUCGACAGCAAAGGACAGGGGUCCGCUCUGGUGGAAGCAGGCUGGAAGGCCAAACCCUCUGAGAAUCCUCAGCAGAGUGAUGGGCGUGUUUAUCGGGUCACAGCAGUGGAGAGCGAGCCCCGGCCUGAAACUUCUGCUGCCCACUGAUUCCGGCGUUGUCCUCAUUCUGUCCACGGCAGCUCGGCCAAAACACGUCCGUCUAAUCAGCCUCUCGACCUCGAUAAGCACCACCUCUAUAUCUGUCUCUGAGCGCUGCUCGGAAAACGGGGGACUUUUUUUGUGUGUUUUUCCACCAUUUUUUCAAUGUUUGUGAAUCAGUGGAUUUAUUUAUUUAUUAAUUUACUUAUUUAUCAUGUUUUUCACUAAAGUGUUUGGCACAUCCGUCCAGCCCUCCCUGUUCCAGCCGACGGUCCAGAGUAGUAGUAGUAGUAGUAGUAGUAGUGGUAUCAGCGCUGCUCUGGGAUUUAAA